GUGUGACUUGGGCAAAUUAACCUCUGUUCUUAAAACUGGUCCUUCAUCAUAUGAUUUGGCAAGUGCUGGACUUUACAGGCGUGCCAUGGAAUGCAGUGGUCUUAGCCCAAACCUCAGACCAAGUGAAUUCUGGAGCCACAAGACAGUCAGUACACGAUUCUUCAUUUCCAGAAUCACUCACCAUCUCUGUGGGCACUGCUGGGACUGGGGGGUCCACUACUAACAUCCCCAUGUAUGGAAGUUCCUCAUGGCUGAAAAGUGACCCUUCAACC
Eptesicus fuscus (big brown bat) is the source of this 272-nucleotide long non-coding RNA. RefSeq lists it as uncharacterized. The transcript is spliced from 3 exons. The record is from RefSeq and is a predicted model, not a curated record. NCBI's taxonomy places the organism in Eukaryota, Metazoa, Chordata, Mammalia, Chiroptera, Vespertilionidae.